AUGGAGGCGGCCAGGGUGGGGUCGCAGAGCCGCCACCUGUACGGAGGCGGGCUGGGUGGCGUGCUUGAGCAGGCCAGGCGCGAGAAGAGGGUGUUCGGCUGGGACCUCAAUGAUUGGAGCUGGGACAGCGAGCGCUUCGUCGCCACGCCGGUGCCUGCGGCAGUGGGGAAUGGCCUGUCGCUCAACAGUACGCCGUCUUCCUCAGAGGAAGCCGAGGCUGAGGUGGCUAGGAAUGGUAACGGGAGAGUUGACUCUGACAAGAGGAAGCGAGUGGUUGUCAUUCAUGACGAUGAAGAUGAGAAGGAUGAGGACCCGGUGGGGAACAGUAACAAUGUGCUCAGCUUGAGAAUUGGUGGCAGCUCUGUUGCCGGCGGAACGGCGGAGGAUGGCGGUGUGAACGAGGAGGACAGAAAUGGUAAGAAGAUCAGGGUGCAGGGCGGAAGCUCAAGCGGUCCGGCGUGUCAGGUGGAGGGCUGCUGCGCGGACCUUAGCGCGGCAAAGGAUUACCAUCGGCGGCACAAGGUCUGCGAGAUGCAUGCCAAGGCCAACACCGCGGUGGUCGGAAAUACCAUCCAGCGGUUCUGCCAGCAAUGCAGCAGAUUUCACCUUCUUCAAGAAUUUGAUGAAGGAAAGCGCAGCUGUCGCCGGCGUUUAGCAGGCCAUAAUAAACGUAGGAGGAAAACCCGCCCUGAAAAUGCUGUUGGUGGGACUCCUAUUGAGGAAAAAGUUAGCAGUUAUUUAUUGUUGAGUCUUCUUGGAAUAUGCGCCAAUUUGAACUCUGACAAUGCUGAGCAUUUACAAGGUCAGGAGUUGCUAUCCAAUCUUUGGAGAAACUUGGGGAAUGUUGCCAAAUCAUUGGAUCCAAAAGAACUUUGUAAACUCCUGGAGGCGUGUCAGAGCAUGCAAAAUCGAUCAAAUGCUGGGACCUCUGAAGCAGCUAAUGCUUUGGUGAAUACAGCUGCAGCAGAGGCUGCAGGACCAUCUAACUCUAAGGCUCCUUUUGCGAAUGGUGGUGACUGCGGGCAGACGUCAUCUGCUGUUCUACCAGUACAAUCAAAUGCUACCAUGGUGGCAACUACCGGUAGUGUGUUCACAGAGACUCCAGCAUGCAAGUUUAGGAAUUUUGAUUUGAAUGACACUUGCAAUGAUAUGGAAGGCUUUGAGGAUGGUUCAAAUUGCCCAUCAUGGAUACGACAAGAUUCUACUCAAAGCCCACCACAGACUAGUGGUAAUUCGGAUUCAACAUCAGCUCAGUCAUUGUCAAGCUCAAAUGGAGAUGCUCAGUGUCGGACUGAUAAAAUUGUAUUCAAGCUUUUUGAGAAAGUUCCUAGUGAAUUACCUCCAAUUUUGCGAUCACAGAUCCUUGGUUGGUUGUCCAGUAGCCCUACUGAUAUAGAGAGCCAUAUUAGACCUGGCUGUAUUAUCCUGACAGUUUAUCUUCGUUUAGUUGAGUCUUCAUGGAGGGAGCUCUCUGAGAAUAUGAGUGUAUAUCUGGAUAAGCUCUCAAGUAGUUCCGCUGAUAACUUUUGGACAUCUGGUUUGGUAUUUGUGAUGGUACGGCAUCAAAUUGCUUUCAUGCACAAUGGUCAAGUUAUGUUGGACAGACCACUGGCACCUAAUUCUCACCAUUACUGCAAGGUCUUAUGUGUUAGUCCGGUUGCUGCUCCUUAUUCAGCAACAGUUAAUUUCAGGGUAGAAGGCUUCAACUUAGUCAGUUCUUCCUCAAGGCUCAUUUGCUCAAUUGAAGGGCGUUGUAUAUUCGAGGAGGACACAUCUAUUAUGGCUGAUGAUACUGAGGAUGAAGAUAUUGAAUAUCUCAACUUUUGUUGUUCUCUCCCUGGUACAAGAGGAAGAGGAUUCAUAGAGGUUGAAGAUAGUGGAUUUAGUAAUGGUUUCUUCCCCUUCAUAGUUGCUGAGCAGAAUGUAUGCUCUGAGGUUUGUGAGCUGGAGAGCAUAUUUAAGUCAUCCAGUCUUGAGCAGCCAGACAAUGACAUUGCCAUGAAUCAAGCUUUAGAGUUUCUACAUGAGCUGGGGUGGCUUCUUCAUAGAGUUAACAUAAUUUCUAAGCAUGAUAAAGUGGAGCCGCCUGUACCUGCCUUUAACCUGCUGAGAUUCAGGAAUCUUGGUAUAUUUGCGAUGGAGCGGGAGUGGUGUGCUGUGACCAAAAUGCUGUUAGAUUUGUUAUUUGAUGGAUUUGUUGAUGCUGGGUUGCAGUCUCCCAAAGAUGUGGUAUUGUCAGAAAAUUUGCUACACUCUGCUGUGCGAGGAAAAUCUGCCCGAAUGGUUAGAUUUCUGCUGACAUACAAGCCGAACAAAAACCUGAAGGAAACUGCAGAGACAUACCUAUUCAGACCUGAUGCUCAGGGCCCUUCUGCAUUUACGCCCCUCCAUAUAGCAGCCGCUACUAGUGAUGCAGAGGAUGUAUUGGAUGCAUUGACUGAUGACCCUGGACUGGUGGGACUCAAUGCAUGGAGAAAUGCGAGAGACGAGAUAGGCUUUACCCCUGAAGAUUACGCUCGCCAAAGUGGCAACGAUGCUUACAUCAAUCUUGUCCAGAAGAAGAUUGACAAGCAUCUUGGCAAAGGUCAUGUUGUCCUCGGCGUUCCUAGCAGCAUGUGCCCUGGAAUAACCGAUGGGAUGAAGGCAGGUGAUAUCAGCCUUGAGAUCUGCAAAGCCAUGCCAAUGACAACAACAUCCGCCGCAAGGUGCAACAUCUGCAGUUGUCAGGGUAAGAUGUACCCCAAUUCCUUAGCCAGGACCUUCCUGUACAGGCCAGCAAUGUUCACUGUGAUGGGUGUCGCCGUGAUCUGCGUUUGCGUCGGAAUACUCCUCCAUACCCUCCCCAAGGUUUAUGCUGCACCGAAUUUCAGAUGGGAGCUGUUAGAGCGCGGAGCCAUGUGA
RNAcentral lists this ribosomal RNA (2901 nucleotides) under Triticum aestivum (bread wheat). Its description in RNAcentral is "partial small subunit ribosomal RNA". Lineage: Eukaryota; Viridiplantae; Streptophyta; Magnoliopsida; Poales; Poaceae. The record is from RNAcentral.